AACGAACGCUGGCGGCAUGCCUAACACAUGCAAGUCGAACGAGACCUUCGGGUCUAGUGGCGCACGGGUGCGUAACGCGUGGGAACCUGCCCUUAGGUUCGGAAUAACUCCCCGAAAGGGGUGCUAAUACCGGAUAUUGUCUUCGGACCAAAGAUUUAUCGCCUUUGGAUGGGCCCGCGUUGGAUUAGCUAGUUGGUAGGGUAAAAGCCUACCAAGGCGACGAUCCAUAGCUGGUCUGAGAGGAUGAUCAGCCACACUGGGACUGAGACACGGCCCAGACUCCUACGGGAGGCAGCAGUGGGGAAUAUUGGACAAGGGGCGAAAGCCUGAUCCAGCAAUGCCGCGUGAGUGAUGAAGGCCUUAGGGUUGUAAAGCUCUUUUACCCGGGAUGAUAAUGACAGUACCGGGAGAAUAAGCGCCGGCUAACUCCGUG
This 433-nucleotide ribosomal RNA is filed under the name uncultured bacterium. RNAcentral's name for it is "partial 16S ribosomal RNA". It matches the Rfam family "Bacterial small subunit ribosomal RNA", at positions 29 to 507 of the family's 1533-position model. The record is from RNAcentral.